UCGGGAAUAUUGCGCAAUGGAGGAAACUCUGACGCAGUGACGCCGCGUAUAGGAAGAAGGUCUUCGGAUUGUAAACUAUUGUCGUUAGGGAAGAGAAAGGACAGUACCUAAGGAGGAAGCUCCGGCUAACUACGUGCCAGCAGCCGCGGUAAUACGUAGGGAGCGAGCGUUAUCCGGAUUUAUUGGGUGUAAAGGGUGCGUAGACGGGAAAAUAAGUUAGUUGUGAAAUCCCUCGGCUCAACUGAGGAACUGCAACUAAAACUAUUUUUCUUGAGUGCAGGAGAGGAAAGUGGAAUUCCUAGUGUAGCGGUGAAAUGCGUAGAUAUUAGGAGGAACACCAGUGGCGAAGGCGACUUUCUGGACUGUAACUGACGUUGAGGCACGAAAGUGUGGGGAGCAA
RNAcentral lists this ribosomal RNA (400 nucleotides) under uncultured bacterium. Its description in RNAcentral is "bacterial SSU rRNA". It matches the Rfam family "Bacterial small subunit ribosomal RNA", at positions 355 to 771 of the family's 1533-position model. The record is from RNAcentral.